Molecule: long non-coding RNA, 2806 nt
Organism: Peromyscus leucopus (white-footed mouse)
Lineage: Eukaryota; Metazoa; Chordata; Mammalia; Rodentia; Cricetidae
Exons: 2
Source: RefSeq, a predicted model, not a curated record
AGAUUCGGGCAUCUCAGGGAUGCGGGCAUCUCAGGGAAAGAAAGAAAGCUCCUGGAGACUGCAGCGUCCUGAACUGUAGAGUUGCGAGGGCCUUAGCGUACAUCCUUAGGAAACCUGUGCCUUACCCCUGGAGGAAAGAAGUGACUCUCAGCCCAUCACAGCGGCCUCUGCACUGCUCCGAGUUGCUUAAGACAGUGUGACUACUAAUUUAAAUAUGUUCAAGGGACUUGAAGGGGUUUUCAUAUUAGUGUAAGGAGUCUCGUUCUCUGUCAGGUCUCUUUGACACUUUACAUAACUUUCCUGACAAAUGACACCCAAAAGCUACAGCUGGUAAUGAAGGAUGAUGAAUCUGAAUUCUCACUGAGCAUGUAAAUAGAAUAAGAAGGACCACCCAGCCUAGUAAACAGAACAUCGCCAGUAAGUGAAGCCCGGAUCUCGUUUUCAUUCCUCAUUCUAGUAAAAAUGACUCUGAAUACUAUUUUAGUGACUCCUUUGUUUUUCUUUAAGGUUACAUAAAUAUAAACAACAUGUUUUUCAAAAGGCAAUUUUCCCUGAAAUUUUCAGUGGUUUGCUUAAUAUCGGCAUCACAUUUCCGAUUUCACCCAUGUUGAUGUGUCAGGGAUUUGUUUUUGUUCUUUGAGUGCACACACAGUUUCUAUGACUAGAGAGUGUUUGAUUUCUCCCAGAGGAGGCUUCUGUGUCUAGUUUCUUGUUGUUGGGAGGUGGAUGACUCCUUUGUCUACCUCCUAGAGCACAGAAACUACAGUGUUUCUCCCAUGUGUACACAAGAGCGGAGAUUCUGUCUUGAGAUCAUGAAAACCAUACACACUUUGGUUUCAUUAGGCAGUGCCAGCUUUUUUCCAGAACUGUUCUGUCAAUUUACUUCUCACCAGUAGACAGAAAUGCCUGUUGUUUUGCGUACUUGCUGACACUUGAGUAGUCGCAUUGUGUGAAGUUUCCGUUCUCUGGGGUUUUUCACUAUUCCCUUCUUCAGUGCCCACGAUGUAACAUAGUGUUGACUAACAGUGUUUGUUUUUGUGUCAUACAACAUCAUUUAACUCUGGAGAGAGAAAUACCCUGGACGCAUAAUAUGGAAGGGUAGCAUAGGGACGCUAAGGGCGGAAGGCACUUUGAAUUUCUCAUCCUUUGGGACUUGGAAUAUGAUUGCGGUUUCUGUGAAUACUUGGAAACAACUUCUGGGUCAUUUUCUUGACCUUUGGGUCCUCCUGGUAAGUGUGGUCCCAGCUUGGUGGUUCAGCUACCAGAUAUUUUCUUAUCAGUGCAGUGGUUGUGAUACUUGUUGGUUUUACGAUGAUGAGUGACCAUUUUGUGUUGUCAUAUUUUGUGGAACUUAAGAUCGCCACUGCAUGACAACGCUGGAGAGAGGCCAGGUCUUGUGGUGAUACUUCACUGUGUCUCUCCACCUGGGGAGAGACAAGGAGUGAGCUGAGCUGGUGACUGGGAGCAGAGAACUACUCUUGAGAGAAAAGGACUUCUCAGCUGUCUGUCCUGACUAAUCUGUUGAAGAGAAGAUGACUGAGAUGGCGGUGGCCAAGGCUGGCACUCUUGGCACCUCUGUGCUGGAAGUCAACCUCUCCCCUCCCUCCUUCCACCCACCCUCAUGGGGAGAGCUUCCCUGGGAGCUACUGCUGAACGGGUGCUGGUGCAGCUGAUUUGGGGUUGACUAGCACUGACCAGAGGGAGCUUGGGGACCAGCCGAUCCUGGGAGUUCUGCAUCCCCUCCCUUUGUUCUGGUUUCAGCCACACUUGAGUGGAAUCUCCUGUAGCAAGCAGCAAUUGACCGGCACUCAUCAACUCCUUUUCAUCGCCAGCACCCCUUGGAAAGACUCUCCACCCUAUUAAGUUCCCAGCCUUUGGUUACCCUAAGAAUUUGGACAUAAAAUGGAAAUGUGGCCUGUCAUUAGAGGUGACUUCUCGGACUCCUGUUGGAGCAGACAGAACGAUUUGAUGGCUUCCCUGUUCUGUGUAGCCUCAGAGUGAAACCUGUGAUGGCAAAGAGCUUUUGUUGAUGAAAGCUAAAAUAAAUCGCACCCCCAGGCCUUACCUUUCUGAUUAGGAUGGCCACUGCUGUCAAAUAUAAAGAUGUUUGAACACUGUCUACAGAUAAUCUUCAAUGUGUUAUAAGUGACUUGACACGGAGUUCAUAAAACACCCUGAGGGUUGUAAGGGGCUGGUUCUGACCCACCAUCAGCAGGAUUCACCUCCUGUUAUUUUUCCAUCGAAGGUGCUAGAAAAGCAAAUGUCCCAAGCUGUCAAGGCAUCUCUGAAGCAGAGUGUGAACACAAAUGCUCUCUGUGUGUCUCCUUUCUUCCUCCAGCCAAACCUGCCUGGAGAUAAGAUAGCUUGAUUUAAGAUAGCUUGAGCUAAGGAAACGGUAGGAGGCACGAAAUUUGGUGUGACUUGGAUUGUUUUAUUUUAACUACUAAAGAUGAUUAUUGUGAAAAAUAUUAAGCCAGAGUUAAAUUGUGCCUUAUAGAACCUAUAACUUAUUUUUUCUUAGAGGUUUUUAAAAGAAAGAAGAAAGUAAGUCUCAUUCUCUGAUUGGAUUAAUUAAUGUUUAGGUUGAGGUUUUCUGAAUUGACACUGCUCAGGAAAGCCAUGAUUUCAGAAUACUUAUGUCAACAUUCUGGCUUGUUAUGUAAACCAAGAACUGAUUUGGUCUUAUAUUUAAUAUUACAUUUGACAGACUAUGUAGUAGACAUGGCACCUUGUGAGAGGUACUUAUGUCUGACGUUUUGUCUUGUAUUAAUAAAGGAAUGAUUGAAAAUUUCAGUUCUGAAGGGAA